CAGCCGCCACGGUAAUACGAAGGGUGCAAGCGUUGAUCGGAAUUACUGGGCGUAAAGCGUGCGUAGGCGUGAGUUAAGUCUGCUGUGAAAUCCCCGGGCUCAACCUGGGAAUGGCAGUGGAUACUGGCUCGCUAGAGUGUGUCAGAGGGGGGUGGAAUUCCACGUGUAGCAGUGAAAUGCGUAGAGAUGUGGAGGAACACCGAUGGCGAAGGCAGCCCCCUGGGCCAAUACUGACGCUCAUGCACGAAAGCGUGGGGAGCAAACAGGAUUAGAUACCCGCGUAGUCCCUGUCUCUUAUACC
RNAcentral lists this ribosomal RNA (301 nucleotides) under uncultured bacterium. Its description in RNAcentral is "partial 16S ribosomal RNA". It matches the Rfam family "Bacterial small subunit ribosomal RNA", at positions 509 to 808 of the family's 1533-position model. The record is from RNAcentral.